Molecule: ribosomal RNA, 1346 nt
Filed under: uncultured bacterium
Lineage: Bacteria
Description: partial 16S ribosomal RNA
Rfam family: Bacterial small subunit ribosomal RNA
Source: RNAcentral
GACGAACGCUGGCGGCGUGCUUAACACAUGCAAGUCGAACGGAAAGGCCCUGCUUUUGUGGGGUGCUCGAGUGGCGAACGGGUGAGUAACACGUGAGUAACCUGCCCUUGACUUUGGGAUAACUUCAGGAAACUGGGGCUAAUACCGGAUAGGAGCUCCUGCUGCAUGGUGGGGGUUGGAAAGUUUCGGCGGUUGGGGAUGGACUCGCGGCUUAUCAGCUUGUUGGUGGGGUAGUGGCUUACCAAGGCUUUGACGGGUAGCCGGCCUGAGAGGGUGACCGGCCACAUUGGGACUGAGAUACGGCCCAGACUCCUACGGGAGGCAGCAGUGGGGAAUAUUGCACAAUGGGCGGAAGCCUGGUGCAGCAACGCCGCGUGCGGGAUGACGGCCUUCGGGUUGUAAACCGCUUUCGCCUGUGACGAAGCGUGAGUGACGGUAAUGGGUAAAGAAGCACCGGCUAACUACGUGCCAGCAGCCGCGGUGAUACGUAGGGUGCGAGCGUUGUCCGGAUUUAUUGGGCGUAAAGGGCUCGUAGGUGGUUGAUCGCGUCGGAAGUGUAAUCUUGGGGCUUAACCCUGAGCGUGCUUUCGAUACGGGUUGACUUGAGGAAGGUAGGGGAGAAUGGAAUUCCUGGUGGAGCGGUGGAAUGCGCAGAUAUCAGGAGGAACACCAGUGGCGAAGGCGGUUCUCUGGGCCUUUCCUGACGCUGAGGAGCGAAAGCGUGGGGAGCGAACAGGCCUAGAUACCCUGGUAGUCCACGCUGUAAACGGUGGGUACUAGGUGUGGGGUCCAUUCCACGGGUUCCGUGCCGUAGCUAACGCUUUAAGUACCCCGCCUGGGGAGUACGGCCGCAAGGCUAAAACUCAAAGGAGUUGACGGGGCCCCGCACAAGCGGCGGAGCAUGCGGAUUAAUUCGAUGCAACGCGUAGAACCUUACCUGGGUUUGACAUGGAUCGGGAGUGCUCAGAGAUGGGUGUGCCUCUUUUGGGGUCGGUUCACAGGUGGUGCAUGGCUGUCGUCAGCUCGUGUCGUGAGAUGUUGGGUUAAGUCCCGCAACGAGCGCAACCCUUGUUCACUGUUGCCAGCACGUUAUGGUGGGGACUCAGUGGAGACCGCCGGGGUCAACUCGGAGGAAGGUGGGGAUGACGUCAAGUCAUCAUGCCCCUUAUGUCCAGGGCUUCACGCAUGCUACAAUGGCUGGUACAGAGAGUGGCGAGCCUGUGAGGGUGAGCGAAUCUCGGAAAGCCGGUCUCAGUUCGGAUUGGGGUCUGCAACUCGACCUCAUGAAGUCGGAGUCGCUAGUAAUCGCAGAUCAGCAACGCUGCGGUGAAUACGUUCCCGGGGCU